RNAcentral lists this ribosomal RNA (253 nucleotides) under uncultured bacterium. Its description in RNAcentral is "partial 16S ribosomal RNA". It matches the Rfam family "Bacterial small subunit ribosomal RNA", at positions 524 to 776 of the family's 1533-position model. The record is from RNAcentral.
UACGUAGGGUCCGAGCGUUGUCCGGAAUUAUUGGGCGUAAAGGGCGCGUAGGCGGUUUGUUAAGUCGGCUGUGAAAGCCCGGGGCUCAACCUGGGAAUGGCAUUGGAAACUGGCGACCUAGAGUGCGGUAGAGGGUAGUGGAAUUCCCGGUGUAGCAGUGAAAUGCGUAGAGAUCGGGAGGAACAUCCGUGGCGAAGGCGACUACCUGGACCAGCACUGACACUGAGGCACGAAAGCGUGGGGAGCAAACAGG